AACUAGGCCACUUUUUUCAGCCUCAAAAAGUACUACACAAAGAAAAGGAACGUAGAUUAUUAACUCACUGGUGCUGUAUGGUGUUGUCAACAAUCCAAGAAGAGGCAAGUCAAAUGAUGCAGGAAGUCUAGUUGUAGACUUUCAAGUGUGGGACCACUUUUGAGGCUGCACAGCAAAUUGCCAAACCAUCCCAGACUAAAUCCCCUACUGUAUCUUCUGUUCCAUUUCUCCAUGAU
Long non-coding RNA from Sphaerodactylus townsendi, 236 nucleotides. RefSeq lists it as uncharacterized. Lineage: Eukaryota; Metazoa; Chordata; Lepidosauria; Squamata; Sphaerodactylidae. The transcript has 3 exons. The record is from RefSeq and is a predicted model, not a curated record.